Molecule: ribosomal RNA, 539 nt
Filed under: uncultured bacterium
Lineage: Bacteria
Description: bacterial SSU rRNA
Rfam family: Bacterial small subunit ribosomal RNA
Source: RNAcentral
GAGGAAUAUUGGUCAAUGGGCGAGAGCCUGAACCAGCCAAGUAGCGUGCAGGAUGACGGCCCUAUGGGUUGUAAACUGCUUUUGUAUGGGGAUAAAGUCAACCACGUGUGGUUGUUUGCAGGUACCAUACGAAUAAGGACCGGCUAAUUCCGUGCCAGCAGCCGCGGUAAUACGGAAGGUCCGGGCGUUAUCCGGAUUUAUUGGGUUUAAAGGGAGCGUAGGCUGGAGAUUAAGUGUGUUGUGAAAUGUAGACGCUCAACGUCUGACUUGCAGCGCAUACUGGUUUCCUUGAGUACGCACAACGUUGGCGGAAUUCGUCGUGUAGCGGUGAAAUGCUUAGAUAUGACGAAGAACUCCGAUUGCGAAGGCAGCUGACGGGAGCGCAACUGACGCUGAAGCUCGAAGGUGCGGGUAUCGAACAGGAUUAGAUACCCUGGUAGUCCGCACAGUAAACGAUGGAUGCCCGCUGUUGGUACCUGGUAUCAGCGGCUAAGCGAAAGCAUUAAGCAUCCCACCUGGGGAGUACGCCGGCAACGGUG